UUUUCGGCAACUUUUUUUAGGUCUACAGUUUUAAUUUUGGACUCAUGUACUAGGAAUAUCAUAUCUUUAGCAGAAUUGUGCCACUGAAUUAAAGGGAACUCUUUUUUUAGAUGCGCAUGAUGCAACUUCCUGGAUGGUGUGUAGGCUGUUUGUCAACAUGUGAAACCCACGUGUAUUUCAGGGAGUAGUCUCCCCUUUCAAAGAUCAAAAUUGGUGGAUAUAUAAUGCGGCAUGCAGUCUGGUCAUCAAUGGAGAGUUUCGACACCCGUAUACCCGUAUUUCUACCAAUCACCUCUGUAACCUUUGUUGUGUUCAUCAGACAGAUGAUGGACAACUCUACUUCCUUUUAAAACAGGUGCCCCUACAGAUUCAUAAAGUUCCAAUGUUGAGUUUCCAUGACCCCUAUUCAUCCAUGACAGGAAAAGGAAUAAAGUUGACAGGACUUUCCGCACUGUCCUUGGUAGCAGCUUAUGAUGGAACCAACAGCAGUGGACAUAGCGCGCUUCAUCAAAGGU
Long non-coding RNA from Saccostrea echinata, 515 nucleotides. RefSeq lists it as uncharacterized. NCBI's taxonomy places the organism in Eukaryota, Metazoa, Mollusca, Bivalvia, Ostreida, Ostreidae. The transcript has 4 exons. The record is from RefSeq and is a predicted model, not a curated record.